UAUUACCUGUGGCUAGCAGAUGUUGGG
Molecule: non-coding RNA, 27 nt
Filed under: Homo sapiens (human)
Lineage: Eukaryota; Metazoa; Chordata; Mammalia; Primates; Hominidae
Source: RNAcentral